This 253-nucleotide ribosomal RNA is filed under the name uncultured bacterium. Its description in RNAcentral is "partial 16S ribosomal RNA". It matches the Rfam family "Bacterial small subunit ribosomal RNA", at positions 524 to 776 of the family's 1533-position model. The record is from RNAcentral.
UACGGAGGGGGCUAGCGUUGUUCGGAAUUACUGGGCGUAAAGCGCACGUAGGCGGAUCAGUCAGUCAGGGGUGAAAUCCCGGGGCUCAACCCCGGAACUGCCUUUGAUACUGCUGGUCUGGAGGUGGAGAGGGGUGAGUGGAAUUCCGAGUGUAGAGGUGAAAUGCGUAGAUAUUAGGAGGAACACCAGUGGCGAAGGCGGCUUUCUGGACUACAACUGACGCUGAGGCGCGAAAGCGUGGGUAGCAAACAGG